CAGUCGCCGCGGGAAUACGAAGGGUGCAAGCGUUAAUCGGAAUUACUGGGCGUAAAGCGUGCGUAGGCGGUGAGUUAAGUCUGCUGUGAAAUCCCCGGGCUCAACCUGGGAAUGGCAGUGGAUACUGGCUCGCUAGAGUGUGUCAGAGGAUGGUGGAAUUCCCGGUGUAGCAGUGAAAUGCGUAGAGAUCGGAAGGAACAUCUGUGGCGAAGGCGACUAUCUGGGCCAACACUGACACUGAGGCACGAAAGCGUGGGGAGCAAACAGGAUUAGAUACCCCCGUAGUCCCUGUCUCUUAUAA
Molecule: ribosomal RNA, 301 nt
Filed under: uncultured bacterium
Lineage: Bacteria
Description: partial 16S ribosomal RNA
Rfam family: Bacterial small subunit ribosomal RNA
Source: RNAcentral